RNAcentral lists this unclassified non-coding RNA (253 nucleotides) under uncultured Pseudomonadaceae bacterium. RNAcentral describes it as "contains 16S-23S intergenic spacer region". It matches the Rfam family "Bacterial small subunit ribosomal RNA", at positions 524 to 776 of the family's 1533-position model. Lineage: Bacteria; Pseudomonadati; Pseudomonadota; Gammaproteobacteria; Pseudomonadales; Pseudomonadaceae. The record is from RNAcentral.
UACAGAGGGUGCAAGCGUUAAUCGGAAUUACUGGGCGUAAAGCGCGCGCAGGUGGCUAAGUAAGAUGGGUGUGAAAUCCCCGGGCUCAACCUGGGAACUGCGUCCAUAACUGCUUAGCUAGAGUACGGUAGAGGGUGGUGGAAUUUCCUGUGUAGCGGUGAAAUGCGUAGAUAUAUGAAGGAACACCGGUGGCGAAGGCGUCCACCUGGACUGAUACUGACACUGAGGUGCGAAAGCGUGGGGAGCAAACAGG